RNAcentral lists this ribosomal RNA (1139 nucleotides) under Salmonella enterica subsp. enterica serovar Bovismorbificans. Its description in RNAcentral is "partial 23S ribosomal RNA". It matches the Rfam family "Bacterial large subunit ribosomal RNA", at positions 711 to 1773 of the family's 2925-position model. The record is from RNAcentral. Lineage: Bacteria; Pseudomonadati; Pseudomonadota; Gammaproteobacteria; Enterobacterales; Enterobacteriaceae.
AGACCCGAAACCCGGUGAUCUAGCCAUGGGCAGGUUGAAGGUUGGGUAACACUAACUGGAGGACCGAACCGACUAAUGUUGAAAAAUUAGCGGAUGACCUGUGGCUGGGGGUGAAAGGCCAAUCAAACCGGGAGAUAGCUGGUUCUCCCCGAAAGCUAUUUAGGUAGCGCCUCGUGAAUUCAUCUCCGGGGGUAGAGCACUGUUUCGGCUAGGGGGCCAUCCCGGCUUACCAACCCGAUGCAAACUGCGAAUACCGGAGAAUGUUAUCACGGGAGACACACGGCGGGUGCUAACGUCCGUCGUGAAGAGGGAAACAACCCAGACCGCCAGCUAAGGUCCCAAAGUCAUGGUUAAGUGGGAAACGAUGUGGGAAGGCCCAGACAGCCAGGAUGUUGGCUUAGAAGCAGCCAUCAUUUAAAGAAAGCGUAAUAGCUCACUGGUCGAGUCGGCCUGCGCGGAAGAUGUAACGGGGCUAAACCAUGCACCGAAGCUGCGGCAGCGAACGUAUCACUUAAAGCGAUUCAGCGGAUGACGAUUGACGGAGCGAAGCGACGUCAAAGCGUAUACAAAGUCGAGUCGGUUUAAGGAUACGUUCGUUGGGUAGGGGAGCGUUCUGUAAGCCUGUGAAGGUGGCCUGUGAGGGUUGCUGGAGGUAUCAGAAGUGCGAAUGCUGACAUAAGUAACGAUAAAGCGGGUGAAAAGCCCGCUCGCCGGAAGACCAAGGGUUCCUGUCCAACGUUAAUCGGGGCAGGGUGAGUCGACCCCUAAGGCGAGGCCGAAAGGCGUAGUCGAUGGGAAACGGGUUAAUAUUCCCGUACUUGGUGUUACUGCGAAGGGGGGACGGAGAAGGCUAUGUUGGCCGGGCGACGGUUGUCCCGGUUUAAGCGUGUAGGCUGGUUUUCCAGGCAAAUCCGGAAAAUCAAGGCUGAGGCGUGAUGACGAGGCACUACGGUGCUGAAGCAACAAAUGCCCUGCUUCCAGGAAAAGCCUCUAAGCAUCAGGUAACAUCAAAUCGUACCCCAAACCGACACAGGUGGUCAGGUAGAGAAUACCAAGGCGCUUGAGAGAACUCGGGUGAAGGAACUAGGCAAAAUGGUGCCGUAACUUCGGGAGAAGGCACGCUGACACGUAGGUGAAGU